This 728-nucleotide ribosomal RNA is filed under the name bacterium IMCC11514. RNAcentral's name for it is "bacterial SSU rRNA". It matches the Rfam family "Bacterial small subunit ribosomal RNA", at positions 33 to 752 of the family's 1533-position model. The record is from RNAcentral.
ACGCUGGCGGAAUGCUUUACACAUGCAAGUCGAACGGCAGCAUAGAGAGCUUGCUCUCUGAUGGCGAGUGGCGAACGGGUGAGUAAUAUAUCGGAACGUGCCUAGUAAUGGGGAACAACUAGCUGAAAGGUUAGCUAAUACCGCAUACGACCUACGGGUGAAAGCAGGGGAUCUUCGGACCUUGCGUUAUUAGAGCGGCCGAUAUCUGAUUAGCUUGUUGGUGGGGUAAUGGCCUACCAAGGCGACGAUCAGUAGCUGGUCUGAGAGGACGAUCAGCCACACUGGAACUGAGACACGGUCCAGACUCCUACGGGAGGCAGCAGUGGGGAAUUUUGCACAAUGGGGGAAACCCUGAUGCAGCCAUUCCGCGUGAGUGAAGAAGGCCUUCGGGUUGUAAAGCUCUUUCGCAAGAGAAGAAAACUUGCAAUCUAAUAUAUUGUAAGCAUGACGGUAUCUUGAUAAGAAGCACCGGCUAACUACGUGCCAGCAGCCGCGGUAAUACGUAGGGUGCAAGCGUUAAUCGGAAUUACUGGGCGUAAAGCGUGCGCAGGCAGUUUUAUAAGUCAGAUGUGAAAUCCCCGAGCUCAACUUGGGAACUGCGUUUGAAACUGUAAGACUAGAGUGUGUCAGAGGGGGGUAGAAUUCCACGUGUAGCAGUGAAAUGCGUAGAGAUGUGGAGGAAUACCAAUGGCGAAGGCAGCCCCCUGGGAUAACACUGACGCUCAUGC